GUGAUUGGAUGGCACGUGCUUGCAGGCUCCUUGCUGUGUGCAUUGAACUGUUGGCGCACCGUCCCCUUCAAUAUCUCCCCGAGCGCAGAAAUUGUGCCUGUGGGUCCGGUUGGUAUCCUGUGUUGCUUACCCGCGUCUGGGAAUUGAUCGGUUUCGAUGCUCUCAUCUGCCUUACGCCUUCUGGGGUGUGGGGUGGACGCGAGGCGGGCUUCGUGCUCCUUGCGUGCUUCGUGCUGAGUUGCGUGGCUGUCUUGGCGCACGGAGUCUCUGCUCGUGCUCUUGGAUGCGGAACGUUUAUGCGUGGGCACGGGGCCUCGGCCCUGAUCCGCCCGAGCUUUUACGCAAAUGUCCAUUGACACGAAUGACCGCUGCUCCCGUCUCGAUUCUGCCGUGCGGGUCGUGCGGGUGUCGGCGUCACCGAGGAAUGCUACCUGGUUGAUCCUGCCAGUAGUCAUAUGCUUGUCUC
RNAcentral lists this unclassified non-coding RNA (466 nucleotides) under Aglaia mackiana. Its description in RNAcentral is "partial external transcribed spacer". The record is from RNAcentral. Lineage: Eukaryota; Viridiplantae; Streptophyta; Magnoliopsida; Sapindales; Meliaceae.